AAAACACCGCUCAGGCCCCGGGCGCGUCGUGUGCGUUAUACACCCGUGUCAUCGCGGGGAAGCCGGCGGGGCCCGCGCCGCCGCCGCCUCGAGCUUGCAGCCGUGUGGAGAGUCGGUGUGAGGGGGUCGGCGCCCGGGGGCGAGUGUCUGCGUCACAUGAGGGCCUCCACUUACGACACAUGCAGAGAACUCUGUGGCCCCAAAGCAGAGCUCUGCACUGGCAUUCAGGAGAUCUCGGUUCCAAGUCACAUCUCUGCUAACAGCUUGCUGGGAAUCACUCUGCUGACUGCAUCGCCUGCGUAUGCAACCUGGAAGGUCAAAAACAAACAUGAUGGGACAAAUGGGACAUGAAUAUAUGCGAGUACUCUGAAGUGCAGACUAUGGAGCACCUGCUCGUUUGCUGACUGCUUGGUGAGACACCUUGGUGUACGAAGGAGGACCUUGCUGCAGCAAUAGAAAGAGACAUCACUUAUGCAUGAUACUGGAAAAAUAUUUAGUUUAUGGCAAGCGAGAAGAUGAACUCUGCUGGCUUCUAUGCUGGUGUAAGUUCAACACUUACCUCUGGAUCAUGCCCAGGCAGGAGUCAGAAUAAGAUCAUCUCAUGCAAAGAAUGAUGGCAGCUAAAAUUGUUCUAAGACCGGAUCCAGGGCUAACACAAAUGGAAAUAAUGCCAUUGACUUCUAAGUGAUUUAAGGGCUGAAGACCCUGUGAGGACACCUGCCUUGUCAGGACCUACUUAAUAAAAUAGCUGUACAAAGCACAAAGGUACAUUUCCCCCGAAGUUUUCUUAACUCUAUUUGCCUGGAACUGACAUGGAUUCAGACUGAUUCUAAAAAAGGCAUAUUUGUUUGAACGGCAGUAAUCAAAUAAACCUAAUACCUAGUAAUCCAUGUCCCUAUAUGGUAAUAGGGGAACACGGUGCUGCUUAACUGCAGUCUUUCAGG
Alligator mississippiensis (American alligator) is the source of this 944-nucleotide long non-coding RNA. RefSeq lists it as uncharacterized. Lineage: Eukaryota; Metazoa; Chordata; Crocodylia; Alligatoridae. The record is from RefSeq and is a predicted model, not a curated record. The transcript is spliced from 3 exons.